AUAAAUAUACAAAGUCACCUUUCAUUGUGCUCAAGUGCUAGGGAAGGGCAAACAGUUCACCUUCCCUCCUGCACCCACCCAUUUACAUCAUAAUUACUCCCCUGGUGACAGCCAACAGGGUUAGAGAGGCCAGCAAGCAGGACAGUCCCCAGACAGAAAUGUUUCUCUCUCCCUGAAAGGAGAAUCCCAUUAAGGGAGGGUCACUUGGGACUCAUGGUGGGAUUUCUAUUGCCCUUCCUGACUGCCAUCCCCCCCCCACCCCCGCCAAGGAGCAAAUAGAAGGACUCAGGUUACAAACAGAUGAGGCGCAAAGGUUAAACAGCUUGCCUGAGAUCAUGCAGCAAUUAGUAGCAGAGUUCUGAGUCUAUCGGAGUGGGCUUGACACUACACUUCAAGCACUGUGUUGAGGCAAUGCCAGUCAGGCAGGAUAGGGCACCAAAUGAUUUUUUUUUUAACUUAAGAGCUGGUAUAACCUGGAGGUUAUACAGAACAUGGUGUGUUGUUUUGCAAUCUGGAUGCUGGAGAGAAGCAGAGUCAAUCUGGAAAUAAAAGAUAUUUAAUUGAA
Mastomys coucha (southern multimammate mouse) is the source of this 565-nucleotide long non-coding RNA. RefSeq lists it as uncharacterized. The transcript is spliced from 3 exons. Lineage: Eukaryota; Metazoa; Chordata; Mammalia; Rodentia; Muridae. The record is from RefSeq and is a predicted model, not a curated record.